Molecule: ribosomal RNA, 561 nt
Filed under: uncultured bacterium
Lineage: Bacteria
Description: partial 16S ribosomal RNA
Rfam family: Bacterial small subunit ribosomal RNA
Source: RNAcentral
UGGGGAAUAUUGCACAAUGGGCGAAAGCCUGAUGCAGCAACGCCGCGUGAGUGAUGAAGGCCUUCGGGUUGUAAAGCUCUGUCUUUUGGGACGAUAAUGACGGUACCAAAGGAGGAAGCCACGGCUAACUACGUGCCAGCAGCCGCGGUAAUACGUAGGUGGCAAGCGUUGUCCGGAUUUACUGGGCGUAAAGGAUGCGUAGGCGGAUUUUUAAGUGAGAUGUGAAAACCCUAAGCUUAACUUGGGGACUGCAUUUCAUACUGGAAAUCUAGAGUGCGGGAGAGGAGAAUGGAAUUCCUAGUGUAGCGGUGAAAUGCGUAGAGAUUAGGAGGAACACCAGUGGCGAAGGCGAUUCUCUGGACCGUAACUGACGCUGAGGCAUGAAAGCGUGGGUAGCAAACAGGAUUAGAUACCCUGGUAGUCCACGCCGUAAACGAUGAGUACUAGGUGUAGGAGGUAUCGACCCCUUCUGUGCCGCAGUUAACACAAUAAGUACUCCGCCUGGGAAGUACGAUCGCAAGAUUAAAACUUAAAUGAAUUGACGGGGGUCAUAGCUGUUUU